Molecule: long non-coding RNA, 4508 nt
Organism: Columba livia (rock pigeon)
Lineage: Eukaryota; Metazoa; Chordata; Aves; Columbiformes; Columbidae
Exons: 2
Source: RefSeq, a predicted model, not a curated record
GAUCGCCGUUGCGCUCGGUCGCCGCCGUCGCCCCCGCCCGGCCGGGCGGGGCCAAACCGCCCACCGCCCAUUGGGCGGGCUGCGGCACGUGACGGGGCAGCCAUGGCGCGCGCCGCUGCGGGCUCUGCGGCGCGUGACGGGCGCGCUCGGCGGCAGCGGAGGGACUGAGCAAAGCCGGGCUGUCCUUGUGCUCUGCGCACACCCUGUCCCCCUCCGAACAACAGCCUGAGCCCAGGAGUCCUGAAGACCAGAGAUACUUUGCUGAACACUUAAGCUGCCCAGUGGAAAAACAAUGAAUUAUCCUUCUGAAGUGGACUCUAAAACUUUAAAACUGUGUCUCUUGUGUCUUGGAUUAUAGGAAUCUGAAUUAAAGAUGCAAAAUCUGAACGAAUUCAGCCUGUGCACAAGUGAUGUGUAUCCGAGCUAUGCAGCGAAACGUCUGUUAGUCACAACUGGAGAACGGCUAAAAUCCAAGCUUCACAUUUGAGUUGCUCGCCUCCCGUUUUGUUUGCAAUACCCCCUGGUCCGUGUGUUUGUGUUAAAUGGGUCCCUGGUGCUUUACAAGCCAGAGCUGACCAGCCUGCAGCUUUGACCGGAGCACUUCCCAGCACAGCACUUAGUUCUGCCCGUCCUCCGUUCAACCUGCUCAGGUCUAAAGAUUCCGUCCAGCCAGCAAGUCACGUCGUUCCAGCUGAUGGGGAUUGCUCUGUGUGCGCCUGUGCUUACCAAAGCGUCACUGCGUGUGCGUGUGCAGUGGUUCUUUUAGGCCUUGUCUCUGGAAAGCUGUGCACAGCAGAACGUCAAAGCUGCAUGAUGGAAUUAGGACAACGACUGUGUUUAGGUGUCAUUAAGUUUGUGACAUAAGAUAAUGUAUCCGCUGAGUCUUUUAAAGAUUGUAGCGUCAUCUAUUGUGCUCAGCUUUUAUUUCAUCAUAUUGCAGUCGAUAUCAGAAGCAGAUGUUCAAAAGCAAUGUAAGUCCCAUCAGUGUAAAGGCAAAGUAACUACACUUAUACAUGUCCCUAAGGAACGUGAGCUUGUGUGUCUCAUCAGCCUUGCCCUCUUUGGUACUCUGGGUAUCCCCUCUUUUCCUGACAGGAACUUUGUCUCAUCGUCUUACGUCCAGUGUUCCUUUCCUGACGCUGGAGAGGUUGACAGCAUCAACAGAGUCCUACAGUGCUCCGGAGCAGAGCAGCUGGACGCCUUCCUGUUGCUCCUGUGAGACCUGAUCUGCCCCUGGGGCUGGGACUGACUGGAUGGACGCCAGUCCUUUCCAUCUGGCCCUUGGGAGAAGACAUUGCAGUUCUAUUUUAUUUGGCUGGUCACAGGCCAGAAGUUACUCUUUGCCAUUCCACCAUUUGGUGGUGUUGAAUUCCACAUCGUUUUCAUUUUCUUUGACAAAAGUGAAAUGAAAAUUUAAUUCUUACACUUUCUGUGGCCAUUCUGAAGUAGGUUUCAGCCAUGUUUCUGACUCUUGCUCUUUGAUGUCCCUUGGCCAAGUCUUGAAAGGAUUAUGUCAUUGUUCACUGGCCCUCUGAGCUGCCUGAUCUUACUCCAAGGAGUAAUGAAAUUAAUUGACCUUUUGCAAAACAGCGUCUGGAUCACACCACAGCUCUACCUCGGCCACAGCAGAGCGUUUCUUCGGUGGGAAGCUGCCGGUGGAUGGAGGGAUUGUAUGCUCUGUUUCCUUGUACACUGCUGCUGCAAACUGCCGAGUUCCUCGGUGCUUUUGGGAUGGAAGUCUUGCACAUUCACAUUUAUGCUCUUUUGGGCAAGUGUUUUGUCUUGAAAACUCUCUCUCCAAACUUUGUUUAAACAGCUCUAGAUCUCACUGAUCAUGACAGGCAACUCCCCCUUUUUUCCCAUCUGCUACCAGCACCAUUUCCUGAGGUGCUGUUCAGCACCGGGGGCUCUGCAGCCCUCUUAUGUGAACAGGCAGAACAUGUCUGGCUUCUGAAGUGUCGUAGGCACCACCCGCUCACCCUUGAGGGGCUGUUGUUGCAGCAGAAAGCGGCAGUUUGUCCUGGUGCAUGUAACUUUCCCGAUUAAUUGUGUAUUGCUGGUUUAUCCAGCAUGUCCGUGUGGAGCUUGAGGCAAACUGUACUGCUCUUCUUUAGCCUGUGGCUGAGUUUCUUAUUCUGAAAUGAUCCCCAAAUCCCCUUGUGAAACUAGUCAUUUGAUUCCACACUGGUCAAAUUUUGUGUUUCUAGGUUGUGGAGUGAGAGUUCCCAUGCACUCCUGUAUGGCAUUUGCUGCCUCCUUAUUCUGGCAUCACAUUUGACUAAGCCUCUUUCCACUGGCCGUAGCCUGAGGUGGUUGAACAGCGUAUACGUGUCUUCUGUUCUGAAAAUCAGAGAUAACUGCUCCUAACACCUGUGUGGGCCUUGAAUCAACAGUUAUUCUUUGUUUCCCUUAAUUUUUAAGAAACUAGAUUUCAAAGCCAAUACUUAAUGGGUGAGUCACCAUGGUGGUAAGUACUAUAUUCUGCACUAGAGCAAGUGCCACGAGUGUAGGAAGUGUCUUUUCCACACUCCUGUGAUGUUUCCUGAGUUAACUGCUAGUGCUUUUAUUCUGUGUUUAUGCACAUGAAGAAAUGUAAACCUUUGCAUUGUAUAAAAUGUUUUUACUGUCAGGGCGAAAUAGUCACGAUGGGCGGUGGAAAAUAAAUCUGCAAAUGUCACCAGUGAUCCUUGGGGACUUAGCAGUCCUUCCUUUAUCCUUCCUUAUUCUGGAGAAGAAGACGUAACAUCCAACACUGCCUCUGGGUACGAGGUCCUCUGUGUAUGUUGUGACAGAAGUUGCUGAAGUUCUAGGUCUGUGCUCUUUUUCUAAUGAGCAUUCAGUUUUGAGAUACUUCUUUAAGAAGUUUGGGUGCAGUUACAGGUCCCAGUAACCUAAGUAGGAUCUCUCUCAAAACAGUGUUUUUCUUUGAAUGGAGCGUGCCUUUCUAACGCACAGAAGAGCUGCAUUAUUCAUCAGAAUAUUACGCCUUUUCUUGGGCAUGAGUUGAAUCUCAGGGUUGACUCAAUACAGUACAAGAAUACAAGCCAUCAAGUCAAGAAUUUAGAAGAAUGAAGUGUUUUCCGCUUAGUUUUUCCUAGUAAGGAGUUCUGUCUUGUGUGACCUGAGCUAAGACCUGUUUCUUGUGUUCAUAGUCACGUCUGUCCAGUGUCUCCAUCAUUCAUGUCAAGUAGCAGAGCAAUUUGCUGACUAAACUCGAAGAAGUCAUGAAGUGGGAUCUCUCUUCAUGAAAGUAUUUUUUUCUCCUCUGUUGGGAGACCUAAAUCCUGCCUUUCUCUGGAACAGUCGUUUAUUGAGCAGUCAGUGAGGCAAUCCUAAAAAGACAUUCAGACCAAGAUGUUCAAAUGCAAGUACCUAAAUGUGUGUGGCAGGCACUGGCAUGAAGGUUCAGAGACCUUUUCUGUAGUGCCAAGUGUCAGCCUCUUGCUUCUUUGUCUGCAGGGAAUGUCACACCAUGGAUUUAAAUUCAUUAUUUUGGCUAGUACCAUUCACAAUGAGACACUGGCUGUCAGAAAUUACUUAGUAAAUGAGUUUGCAGGAGAGUGGAAAGGGUAAGAAGAGAUGAGAGCAGGGAGACAUCUUGACGUGAGAAUCAGGAACUUGUCAGCAGAGUGGUGGAUGGUUUGGAUCCUCCACUACCAGUCAGGCUCCCCCUGUCCUGAGUCCAGCUUUGGCUCGUGACUUAAGCAAAGCAUGGAAUUCACAGGCAUGAAAAAAAUGUAAAAUGUCAGUGUGGCAUUACUUCACCACCUUGUGCCUAAGACAGAAAAUACGCUGUGUCGUUAUGAGAAUGACGUGCAGAAGAGCCCACAAGAAGCCAGUAGAAGAGGAGCAAUGGUGUCAUCUUAAAAGAAUUUAGCUGACACACUUGGAAAAGUUACAAAUGGCAUGAAAUGGCAUUUAUCAGGUAUUUACAGUUUGGUCUAGGUUGGAUGGUUUUCCACAGGGAUGCUGAAAAGGACCCAAGCCUCAAGGCUUCCUUCUUUUAAAGCUGUGAUUGCAUGACGGUUUUGGUCACCUCUGCCAACACGAGAAGGUGUGCAGACUUCUUAACAAGGUGACUAACUAGCAGAUCUUUUUUUUUUUUUUUUCUGUGAGCAAAUAAUUUUCUGUGUCUUAUUGUUUUAAAUGUGUGAACUAUGUUACCUGUGGGGUCUUGUUCAGUUCAGAGGGUCUUUUUAAGCGAGCCUGGUGAAUGUGCCUAGCAUGGGCAGCUCAAGUAAUUUCAGUUGGCAAAUUUGCAAGCAAAGAAAAACAUGAUCUUCUAGUGAAAAGCUUAGGGAGAUGUCAUGUGUGGGUGCCUCUUAGAAGCAGCAACCGAGUAGUUUGAGCUAUGGUAUGAAUGAAGAGAUGAACAGCCGUGUGACCACAUCUGGUACAGAACACACUUGAAGAGUGCUAGAGAGGGAGCAAGGCUCUACAGGUUCUUCCCAUCAAAACAUCUCUCAGUGAUGACCAAUAAUAAAUAACUGUUCUUUGUGUGCUGUGAA